This 255-nucleotide unclassified non-coding RNA is filed under the name Hevea brasiliensis (rubber tree). Lineage: Eukaryota; Viridiplantae; Streptophyta; Magnoliopsida; Malpighiales; Euphorbiaceae. The record is from RNAcentral.
GAGAAGUCUGGAGCUCAACUAAUCCUAGGAUUAACUCAUGACUCCUGAAAGAAUAAGAUCCUUAAUAGGACGAACAAUGGCAACAAUGAUAAUAGACAUUUGAUGAUACAUAACUGUUACAAAUAAAGAUGGUGAAACUUAUAGUAAAGCAAGGCAAUCAAACUAAGCUUACCAAAACCUUUGAACUUCUUAAAUAAAAAACAUGAUGUAGCCAAACCUUUAAACCCAAGAGAAGACACAAAAUACAUAAUUAUC